Anas platyrhynchos (mallard) is the source of this 430-nucleotide non-coding RNA. The record is from RefSeq and is a predicted model, not a curated record. NCBI's taxonomy places the organism in Eukaryota, Metazoa, Chordata, Aves, Anseriformes, Anatidae.
UUUUAUAUUCUUCAUUAUUUUCACUUAUGCCAAUUUCUUUUUCUUCAGUAGGGCUUACAUGAUCACAACUUGAUGCGAUUUGAGCACUUGGUUCCUGCAGGGCACCCUUACCACCUUCUUUUCCAGCUUUUUCAGGUAGAGACCGUCCACAGAGUUCCCCACACUGUUUGGCUGCAGAACAUGUUCUAGGAUCAAGGCAUUGUCUGUCAGAGACAGUUUGUCACUGGCACUUACCUGAAAGAACGAUCAAUAAUAGUUAACACAUCUCCGUGCUUCAGAGGUACAGGUUGCUGAAAACAGCUACCGUUCAGCUGCGUAGGAUUUACUGUACUUAAAUUUGUCAAGAUUGCCUAGAAAUAAAACAAAAAUUUCAGUAGCCCGAUGAGAUGCAACAAUGCAAUACAAAUGUCAUUAAAAUAUGCAUAUCUUA